GCCUUCGUGUUGUAGUGGUCAGCACGCUCGACUCGUAUUCGAGAGGUCCGUGGUUUGAGUCCAGGCGAAGGCG
Molecule: transfer RNA, 73 nt
Filed under: Stegodyphus mimosarum
Lineage: Eukaryota; Metazoa; Arthropoda; Arachnida; Araneae; Eresidae
Description: tRNA-Thr for anticodon CGU
Source: RNAcentral